Schizosaccharomyces pombe (fission yeast) is the source of this 377-nucleotide non-coding RNA. The record is from the annotation of a GenBank genome assembly. NCBI's taxonomy places the organism in Eukaryota, Fungi, Ascomycota, Schizosaccharomycetes, Schizosaccharomycetales, Schizosaccharomycetaceae.
GACAAGCAUCAAAAGGACCAUCGUGAUGAAAGCUACCAGAUCCAUAAAGCCCUGUUACGUCCAAACGAUCUAUCUGAUCUAAUGGUUCUUUUGACGACCGACCAGGACGAUGUGAUCCCUCUCGUACAGACUUGUAGCGUCGAAUGCUACCCCUGCUUUUCAAACUGGAUUGGGUGGAUGGUGAACUGUCGUUAUGCGAUGGAGAACGAUGGCGACUAGAGCUGGCAACAUGAGUACUACGAGCUCUAGCAAUUUUCGAAUAUCUUGGAGGGGGGUCAAAAGUGCCCAUCGAACUGUUAGAUCGUUCGGCUAAUGCCUCCGCAGAUUUUUUAACGGGACUUGCUGAAGCAGAGGAAGCAGGAGAUGGCUCCUUCUUC